GGAAGGAGGAGGCAGCCAGAGUGUUCUCUGCAGCAGAAGACCCCUUGCUGCCCUGCUUAACCCAGACCAGCAUUUGCCAGAGGCAGGUGUCCAUGAGAGGAGAAAACAUUUCCCAACUGAGGAAACAUGCCCUCCAACUUUCAUUGAUCCUGCCAUGCAUACCUGCCUAGAUGGGCAUCCAUCAGGACCAAUUCAUUGAUGGCCAUCAAGCGGAAGCCAGGAGGCUCAGGAGUUAGUGCUCAGUCAGAAGAUCAAGUGCGGGGCUAGAGUCAGAAAAGUGAGAUAAUUACAUUAACAAUUGAAAUAAGGCUUCAUAUACAGGCCUGAUUCUUGGAGGGAUACUUGCAAGCAACUGGGUAAGUUUGAAGGCUUUACAUUAUGUUUGAACUAUACAUCUAUCAUUGAGCUGAUUUCCAUUCAUGAACUGUUGAGCUGAUGUCCAUUCAUGAACUGUUCGUGAGCUCUUUUUUAGAAGACUUGGGAAAGUUUCUUUAUUGAGACUAUCUGUCUAAGAAAACUUCUGGCUGUAAACAGUUUGGAACUGAUGAAGACCACAAAAUGUGCAACUUAGCACUACAUGUUUUCUUUGUUUGUUCAUACAGUCUGUGAUCAUUGCAGAGCACAGAUGUCAGCCAAUGGUGCUUUUUGUCCAAUUGUCUAUGCAUAUGGUUUUAGAGUCUAUUGCAUUGUAUUACAGUAUAUUUUCCUGUACAUACUUUGUCAGUAUCUAAUUGUAUAUAGUGCUAAAUAACUAACUAACUAAAUAAAUGUAUGUGUGUACAGGA
This is a long non-coding RNA of Hemicordylus capensis (graceful crag lizard), 785 nucleotides long. RefSeq lists it as uncharacterized. The record is from RefSeq and is a predicted model, not a curated record. NCBI's taxonomy places the organism in Eukaryota, Metazoa, Chordata, Lepidosauria, Squamata, Cordylidae. The transcript is spliced from 3 exons.